CGCGUGGGGGAGGGUCUCGGGGUGUAAACCUCUUUUCUAGGGAAGAACACAAUGACGGUACCUGAGGAAUAAGCAUCGGCUAACUCCGUGCCAGCAGCCGCGGUAAUACGGAGGAUGCAAGCGUUAUCCGGAAUGAUUGGGCGUAAAGCGUCCGCAGGUGGCUGUGUAAGUCUGCUGUUAAAGAGUCUAGCUCAACUAGAUAAGAGCAGUGGAAACUACACGGCUAGAGUACGUUCGGGGCAGAGGGAAUUCCUGGUGUAGCGGUGAAAUGCGUAGAGAUCAGGAAGAACACCGGUGGCGAAGGCGCUCUGCUAGGCCGUAACUGACACUGAGGGACGAAAGCUAGGGGAGCGAAUGGGAUUAGUACCCAUUAG
RNAcentral lists this ribosomal RNA (374 nucleotides) under Nostoc sp. PJ S7. RNAcentral describes it as "bacterial SSU rRNA". It matches the Rfam family "Bacterial small subunit ribosomal RNA", at positions 398 to 793 of the family's 1533-position model. The record is from RNAcentral. Lineage: Bacteria; Bacillati; Cyanobacteriota; Cyanophyceae; Nostocales; Nostocaceae.